UCCCUGGUGGCUCAGAUGGUAAAGCGUCUGCCUGAAGUGCGGGAGACCCAGGUUCGAUCCCUGGGUUGGGAA
Non-coding RNA from Bos taurus (domestic cattle), 72 nucleotides. The record is from Rfam. Lineage: Eukaryota; Metazoa; Chordata; Mammalia; Artiodactyla; Bovidae.